RNAcentral lists this ribosomal RNA (60 nucleotides) under Listeria monocytogenes. RNAcentral describes it as "partial 23S ribosomal RNA". The record is from RNAcentral. Lineage: Bacteria; Bacillati; Bacillota; Bacilli; Caryophanales; Listeriaceae. RNAcentral also lists the same sequence under 2 other names.
GCGUUGAGCUAACCAAUACUAAUUGCCCGUGAGGCUUGACCAUAUAACACCCAAGCAAUU